RNAcentral lists this ribosomal RNA (252 nucleotides) under uncultured bacterium. RNAcentral's name for it is "partial 16S ribosomal RNA". It matches the Rfam family "Bacterial small subunit ribosomal RNA", at positions 524 to 776 of the family's 1533-position model. The record is from RNAcentral.
UACGUAGGUCCCGAGCGUUGUCCGGAUUUAUUGGGCGUAAAGCGAGCGCAGGUGGUUUAUUAAGUCUGGCGUAAAAGGCAGUGGCUCAACCAUUGUAUGCAUUGGAAACUGGUAGACUUGAGUGCAGGAGAGGAGAGUGGAAUUCCAUGUGUAGCGGUGAAAUGCGUAGAUAUAUGGAGGAACACCGGUGGCGAAAGCGGCUCUCUGGCCUGUAACUGACACUGAGGCUCGAAAGCGUGGGGAGCAAACAGG